ACUAUGCUCAGCCGUAAACCUUAAUUUACACUAAAAUCGCCAGGAAACUAUGAGCCAUGCUUAAAAUCCAAAGGACUUGACGGCGCCUUAUACCCAACUAGAGGAGCCUGUCCUAUAAUCGAUAAUCCCCGUUCAACCUCACCCCUUCUAGCUUUUCAGCCUGUAUACCUCCGUCGUCAGCCCACCACGUGAGCGUCAUUCAGUAAGCUCCCCCGCUCUAUUCACAUAAACGUCAGGUCAAGGUGCAGCAAACGAAGGGGGAAGAGAUGGGCUACAUUCUCUACCCUAGAGCACACGAAUGACUGCAUAUGAAACCCAGUCUGAAGGCGGAUUUAGAAGUAAAGGGAAAUCAAAGAGUUCCCUUUAAGCUGGCACUGAGACGUGUACACACCGCCCGUCACCCUCCUCGAAGCCAAUUUACAGUAAUUAACAACUAACUGCACUAAAGAGGAGGCAAGUC
Molecule: ribosomal RNA, 460 nt
Filed under: Craugastor uno
Lineage: Eukaryota; Metazoa; Chordata; Amphibia; Anura; Craugastoridae
Description: partial 12S ribosomal RNA
Rfam family: Bacterial small subunit ribosomal RNA
Source: RNAcentral